CCGGGGCCGGCCAGUGAAGACGACCCUGGUGUGGGCAAGGAGCAGGAGCGCUGGACCGCCGGAGGGAUCCGCGUCGCCCGAGGAAUGGCCUGGCGGACAUGUGGCUGGGGGUCACCUGGAAACUCAAGAGAAGUGAAAUAAGUAUCCAGAUAAUUCAGGGGAACAGCUAUGCUUCAUUUAGCAUUGUUUGAACAGCUUUCUACUUUUUUCAUCAGCAGAGUUUUGGCCUUUGGGUUUAUAGAUAGGAGAGAGCUUUCACAAAUUGGCAGAUCUGUGUACAGAGAAAUUUCCUUUCCACGCAUCUUUUUAGGUUUACUAACUUUAUUUAUUUAUUGCAUUCCCAUUAAUCUCCAAGUCAGCACACUUUACAGCUUCCUAUUACUCUUUCUUAUUCUUUAAAUAUAGAAGUUGCGUUUUUGACUCCCGUUUCUCUAUUUUUUUCCAGAUAGGAUAAAGAGAGGCACAGAAGGUGAAUGGAGAACUAAGAAUUGUAUGAUUCAAUGGGUGUGGAGUAAAGUGGUCAAGAUUUUGAAGCAGUGUUUUGUUUUGUUUGUUUUUUGCCGCACAACACUACUGUAAUUUAAAUUUUAUCAGAUAUCACUUGAAGAUAGACUCAAACAACUAUUUAAAGAUUCCUAUAUGCGUAACGUGCUUCAGAUUUUGAGGCAAUUGUCUGCUGUACACCAUCUGAUUCCAGAGAAUUUGCUACAAAUCUAUGAACAAGUAAACUUCCAGAGAUGAAAUGCCCAGUAGGAGACAUGGACCUCUAUAAAGGAUUGGAGAUCUGCAAUUUGCUUUUAAUGUAAUCAUAUGUGAAUAGAAAUAUUGCUGGUUCAACAGACAUUUCCUCUGCAAAGCACUGUGUUAAGACAGAUGGAAGGUUCGAGGUACAAAGAUAUACUGUGCUUUCAAGGGAAUUUUAUAUCCUUGAUAUCACAUGAGAAAAUGAGAAAAACACCGUAAUUUUUUUCUUACGCCCGUUAAAUUCCUAUUAAAUGUAUCCCUCAAUACACUGCAUUUUUAACUAUCUUACCACUUUUGCCUUGUGUUGUAUUUCUUCAAGCCCUGUACCAUACUGUUUGAAAGUAUUGCAGGCAUGUUAUUUGGCUUGAACUAGUUCUUUCAAAUUUCAUCUUGUUCCUUGUAAUUUCAACCCAUGACUGGGAUAAAUUUUUUUAAUUGCUACUUAUUUGCAUUGGAGAAGAAUCAUAUGAAAAAUGGGUAGAGGAAAAUAUUUCUGGAAACUGUGAUCAUAGAAAUUAAAAUUCCCUACAUGUCUAAAAUGGAAUCCUAUACCAUUUCCCUAAAUAGCAAGAAAAUAUGAUGAUUUGAGGUAUUCAAGGUAAGAAACUGGAUUGUAUGACUUCCCAGGUUCUCCUUUACUUUUUUUUUUUUUUUUUUUUGGUGAGAAAGGUUGGCCCUGAACUAACGUGUGUUGCCAAUCUUCCUCUUUUUGCUGGAGGAAGGUGGUUCCUGAGCUAACAUUUGUGCCAGGCUUCCUUUACUUUGUAUGUGGGAUACCACCAUAGCAUGGCUUGAUGAGCGGUAUGAAGGUACGCAUCCAAGAUCCAAACCGUGAACCCUGGGCCACUGAAGUGGAAAAUGCUAACCCGACCACUACACCACCAGGCCAGCCCCUCCUUUACUUUUAAACUCUGUAAAUAAGCAAAGUCAAAGCUCACAGCCUUCGAAGGAACUUAUACCUGUGUGACUUUUUAAAAGCAAGCAGUACUGAUAGUUCAGAAACUUGGGCCAUGGUAUGAAAAGUCAAAAUUAGUUAUAAAAGUCUGUGGUAAUAUAAAAUUCAAUUUCGAAAAAAUGUAAGUAGCAUAUCAAGGCAAUAAAGAGACAAUAUCUUUAUUUGAAUUUUAACUGAUACAUACUCCUUGGGCUAUCCCUCCCACAGAAGAAUCUGACUUUCACUAUGAUAAUCAUUUUCUUAGAAAAUAGAAAGAAAAAUACAAUUUGAACAAAUUUCAGUACACUGUAGUGAUUAAGGACAUGGCUUUAGAGGAAAACAGCCCUGGGUUUGAAUCUCACUCUGCUGCUUACCAGCUCUGGACCCAGGCACAUUUCCUAACGCCCUAGCCUCAGCUUUCUCGUUUGUAAAAGUAGUCCCUACUUUGUAGGGUCUUGUGAGGAUUAAGUGAGGUAAUCACAGAGUAAGAACACAAUUCAUGAUAAAAUUUAAAAUUAUAUAUCUAUAUAUAAGGUACAUAAAUUACAUAUAUAUUACAUGUAUAAAAUGCAUACCCAGUAUGAUAAGCAGAAUGAUGGCCCCCCCAAAAACACCCACAUCCUAGUCCCUGGAACACGUGAAUAUGUUACAUUUCAUGGCAAAGAAUUAAGGUUGCAGAUAGAAUUAAGGUACUAAUCAGAUGACCUUAAGAUAGGAAGAAUAUCCUGGAUUUUCUGGGUAGGUCCAAUGUAAUCACAUGGGUCCCUAAAAUUGGAAGAGGGAGGCAAUAGAAGAGAGUCAGAGAAAGAGAUGUGACUAUGGAAGAAUGGUCAGAGACAUGCAACACUGCUAGCUUUGAAGGUGGAGAACGGGGCCAUGAGCCAAGGAAUGUGGGUGGCCUCUAGAAUCUGGAAAGGGCAAGGAAAUGGAUUCACUCCUAGAGCCUCCAAAAAAGAAGGCAGCCCUCUGACACAUGGAUUUUAGCCCAGUAGCACUCAAGUCUGACUUCUAACUUACAGAACUGUAAAACAAUACGUUUCUGUUGUUUUAAGUGUCCAAAUCUGUGAUAAUUUGUUACAGCAGCAGACAGAAAACAAAUUAGCUAUUUAGAUAUUUAUCAGGGGCCCUACAAAAGAUGCAGAUAAGUGUGGGCAUAUGGAGAAUUGUCUUUUUUUCUUCCAGUUUUGGAAAGCAUGCUAAUUCACACACUUUUUCAUUUUUGUGUUCUUUAUAGAACUAAUUGCAAGAAUUUGAUUUACCAUAAGAGUGUCCUCCAAGCAAUGGAGGUGAUACUGGCCAACAGCUUAACCCGUUAUGAUUCCUUGAUGAUGGCAGCUGACAAUUAUAGGCAAUAAACUUUACUUAAGUACUAUCUAGUUUCUUAUGAUAUUCUUAUUUGUGUCUAGACACCUGAGAGUAUCAGAUAAAUUAUUUAUGAGUUGACAACAUCUGAGACUAACAGGAGUGGCCCUGUCAUCUCCCUGAGAGAUGAGAUCAGAGGUUGGCAGUGGAGGCUGGCCACACUCACCGAGUACUUCUUGCCUCUUCUCAGCUCUAUCAGAAGCACAUUAUGUACGUUGUUGCCUUUAAUCCUCAAAUCCAUGACAUCAUUAUUGUCACUUUACAGAUAAAGAAACACAAGUUCAAGGAAGUGAAACAAACUUACCCAGGACACACAGCAGGAAAGGGGCAGAGCUGAGUCCAUUUGAUUUGAAGCCCAUGAUCUUUCUAGAGCAUCACAGAGCCUCCAAUAUCAAUAGGUGAUGCUGGGAGAAAGAUAUCAAGGACUAGGGGUAGAAGAGUUUACAAACUCAAAUGCCUAAAGUACCUGCAGGGCAUCACAGAUGCUGAGUGUCAGAAGAGGUGAAAGUGAGAUGAUAAAUGACAGCUGACAAUCAGUCUUCCUGAGCAGCAAGAGGUGCACGCCCUCUCUAAAGGAAACGGCUGACAGCUACUACCAGCUGGUUGUUGCUGUGUGAGACCAUAGGCCCAAUGUUGCCAGAUCAAUUAAUUUUUCAAUAAAAGAUAACAAUAUACAUUUUAAUGCGAAAUGGUAUGAUUGCAAAAUGCUAGGAAUGAAUUCAGAUUUUCUUAAAACACUGUAAAGGCCAAAUAAGUCCAAAUCUGCCCAAUGGUCUGGCAAGUUGAGACCACUAGUAUAGACCCUAAGGGAUCAAUACUGACCCACAGAGUGGUCCACAGUCUUGCUAGAAGAGAAGAUGUGGAAAGGAUUGGACUAGAUUUUGAUUGAGCUCCUUGAGUGAAGAGGUGCCCUGAUCUAAGAACAGGGAGGUUUAUUCUAGGGCAUUGAGGCAUGUCAGAGGAGGGCUAUGACUCAGCUUUUCCACCGAAUCUUCUCUAAAAAACCUAUGUAACCAAUAAGUAAAGCAACUCUAAACAUAUUAAAACACCUGUUAUUUUUCCCUUUCCUUUUUGCUAAUGCAUCUUCAUUGAUAGAUAUGCUUAUCUGCCAUAUUUCUAUAUGUGAUAAUUAGUAACCAGAUUAUGUUAAUUAAUAGAAAACAGCUUAAUUAAUAAUGUAAUUAACUCACAUUAUUCACAUUAUUAAAUUUGAAUAGAUUCACAUUUUAUCUAUAUGCAAAAAAGCUGACAUAUAAUAUCUGUAGAGCAGGAAUAAAUGGCAUGAGUUUGAAAAUAUUUAUUUAUUUUAAAUAGUACAAUAUCAAAAAAAGAAAACUACAGUUAAAACGUACUGAUACACAUUUGAAGUAGAAAGCUCUGAUUUGAGAAACACAGUUACAGGAAACUCUAAGGGAGGAGCUGAUGUCGGAGUCGAGUUGUGUGGUAGACAUCAUCUUCACCAUUGCGACUUUUCUCCAGCAGAGCUCUGCAGCCUGGGUACAGUGUUGGGGGAGGCAGACAGCUGGACUGAACCUGGGCUGAGAAGGACAGUGGAGGAAGAGAGCCCAAGUGGGGGCCAUGCCAUUUACACUUGCGAAGGAAAGGAGGAGGUGACAGGCAGAAACUCGAGGCCAAGGGCAUGGGGGACUGAAACAGGUAUAAGAUGCUGGAAGAUGACACCAGACAUCUGAGUCAGAGAAAAAGAAGCUUUUAUCUCAAUGCACAGCAUAAAAAGCAUGAACAUCAGAAUGUUUGCAUCAAUUCCUCUUGCCUCCAAGUUCCACAGGAGUGAUGCGAAGGGGCCCGGAUAGAUGCCACACAUGCAGUGGGUUGUGUUGCAGCAAGGAAACAAUGAGCUUGGGGAACCCACUGCUUUUCUAGCAAGCAGCAAGCUAAGCCAGCUCUUUGUCCCAGAGGAGAUGAUACUUCAUCUCUCAAGAUUGCUUGCUGCAAACAAACCAUGAAAAAUGGCUUGGGUAAAGAGUGGUGUGGUGGAAAGCCUGGAAGAUGGCCCAUAAUGGUUCUUGCCUCCGGGUAUUCACUCUUUUGCAAAUCCCCUCCAGUUGACUGUGGGCUGGACUUACCGACUUACUUCUUACUAACUGAAUACAGCACAAGUGACAGGAUGUUGCUCCUGAGGUGAAGUUAUAAACAGACUGUGGCUUCUGUCUUGGGCACCCUCUCAUGUUCUCUCACUCACUCACUCUGAGGGAAGACAGCUGUCACGUUGUGAGUUGCCUUAUGGAGAGACCAGCAUGGCAAGGAAAGGAUGUCUUUGGCCAACAGUCAGCAAGGACUUGAGGCCUGCUAACAGCCACAUAAGUGAGCUUGGAAGCAGAGUCUCCCCCAUUCAAGGCUGGACAUGACUGCAGCCCUGCCCUACACCUUAUUGCAGCCUUUUCAGAGACCCUGAGUCAGGGGCACCUGGCUAGGCUGCACUCAGCUUCCUAAUCCACAGAAACUGUCAGAAAAUAAAUGUUUAUUGUUUUAAACCUA
This is a non-coding RNA of Equus caballus (horse), 5536 nucleotides long. The record is from RefSeq and is a predicted model, not a curated record. Lineage: Eukaryota; Metazoa; Chordata; Mammalia; Perissodactyla; Equidae.